CUUGCGACACAGGCGAUAUGUGCCCACUGCCUGCAUUCUUGGCACUGCACCCACUUUUCCUUGGGUUUGCUGUUGCUGUAGGUGUCACAACCCACGAGGCAUAUGCAAUCACCUUCAUCUGUCGUUACAAUUAUAUAAUUGUAAUUGAUCCUGUUACAAUUAUACCCACUACUGCCAUUUUUAGCUUCUCCCCUCCUGUGCAACAAGCAUUCAUUCAAACUAAGCAACGUUCAUAGUAAAUGUCACCUACAUGACACCUGCUUUUGUGCACUAUGUAUGAACAGGAUGUCGAUAAUACUUUGAAAUCUAUGAGAUUUUAAUUCCAAAAGGAAAGAAUUACUAACUUACCUGGAAAAUGAUUUUUCGUUCUUAUUUCGUCGGAG
RNAcentral lists this long non-coding RNA (383 nucleotides) under Androctonus crassicauda. The record is from RNAcentral. Lineage: Eukaryota; Metazoa; Arthropoda; Arachnida; Scorpiones; Buthidae.